AUGGAUAUGGUUCAGUGGUAGAGCAAUUGCCUAACAUGCAAUUACCUAGCAUGCCCUGGGUUUGAUCCCUAGUACCAUA
This is a non-coding RNA of Ictidomys tridecemlineatus (thirteen-lined ground squirrel), 79 nucleotides long. The record is from Rfam. NCBI's taxonomy places the organism in Eukaryota, Metazoa, Chordata, Mammalia, Rodentia, Sciuridae.